Non-coding RNA from Ophidiomyces ophidiicola, 119 nucleotides. Lineage: Eukaryota; Fungi; Ascomycota; Eurotiomycetes; Onygenales; Onygenaceae. The record is from the annotation of a RefSeq genome assembly.
GGGAAGAGUGUAUGGUGUAGUUGGUAAACAUCUGCAGGAAUCCUUCUGGCAUGGUUUGUUGUUUUUGGGGAACAACCAUCUGGAAAAGAAGGUCACAGGUUCAAAUCCUGCUAUCCCCA